Lepidothrix coronata (blue-crowned manakin) is the source of this 296-nucleotide long non-coding RNA. RefSeq lists it as uncharacterized. The transcript is spliced from 3 exons. Lineage: Eukaryota; Metazoa; Chordata; Aves; Passeriformes; Pipridae. The record is from RefSeq and is a predicted model, not a curated record.
GGUCUGGACUGGACACUGUGAAAUGGGUCCUGCAGGCUGGACACCACCUUUCCAAACAGGAUGUUUGGAUGGAUCAGCUUUUCUUGUGAGGACAACACUGGAAUUGCUUGGUUUCUGCUAAUGGCCUUAGAGAUUUAGAGAAAAUAAUCUGAGUGGUGUGCUUCCAAGGGAACUCAUUGCAAGAGAAGUGUAGAAGUCAGGACACAAAAUGUUGCACAAUGGCUUUGGCAAACAGAAUGACUCAGUAGAGUUACCAAUCCAUGAAAAAUAUGAUGUGUAAUUAUCUAAAAAAAAAA